This 28-nucleotide non-coding RNA is filed under the name Cricetulus griseus (Chinese hamster). Lineage: Eukaryota; Metazoa; Chordata; Mammalia; Rodentia; Cricetidae. The record is from RNAcentral.
AUGGUUAGCAGAGUGGCGCAGCGGAAGC